This 76-nucleotide transfer RNA is filed under the name Hepatoplasma crinochetorum (SeqCode). RNAcentral describes it as "Candidatus Hepatoplasma crinochetorum tRNA-Lys". It matches the Rfam family "tRNA". From Rfam's summary of the family: Transfer RNA (tRNA) molecules are approximately 80 nucleotides in length. Their secondary structure includes four short double-helical elements and three loops (D, anti-codon, and T loops). The record is from RNAcentral. Lineage: Bacteria; Bacillati; Mycoplasmatota; Mollicutes; Mycoplasmatales; Hepatoplasmataceae (SeqCode).
GGCCCCAUAGCUCAGUCGGUAGAGCAACUGGCUUUUAACCAGUGGGUCGAAGGUUCAAGUCCUUCUGGGGUCACCA